This 484-nucleotide ribosomal RNA is filed under the name uncultured bacterium. RNAcentral's name for it is "partial 16S ribosomal RNA". It matches the Rfam family "Bacterial small subunit ribosomal RNA", at positions 30 to 507 of the family's 1533-position model. The record is from RNAcentral.
AUUGAACGCUGGCGGCAGGCCUAACACAUGCAAGUCGAGCGGAUGAAGGGAGCUUGCUCCUUGAUUCAGCGGCUGACGGGUGAGUAAUGCCUAGGAAUCUGCCUGGUAGUGGGGGAUAACGUCCGGAAACGGGCGCUAAUACCGCAUACGUCCUGAGGGAGAAAGUGGGGGAUCUUCGGACCUCACGCUAUCAGAUGAGCCUAGGUCGGAUUAGCUAGUUGGUGGGGUAAAGGCCUACCAAGGCGACGAUCCGUAACUGGUCUGAGAGGAUGAUCAGGCACACUGGAACUGAGAAAAGGUCCAGACUCCUACGGGAGGCAGCAGUGGGGAAUAUUGGACAAAGGGCGAAAGCCUGAUCCAGCCAUGCCGCGUGUGUGAAGAAGGUCUUCGGAUUGUAAAGCACUUUAAGUGGGGAGGAAGGGCAGUAAGUUAAUACCUUGCUGUUUUGACGUUACCAACAGAAUAAGCACCGGCUAACUUCGUG